This 212-nucleotide unclassified non-coding RNA is filed under the name plant metagenome. RNAcentral describes it as "partial contains small subunit ribosomal RNA, internal transcribed spacer 1, and 5.8S ribosomal RNA". The record is from RNAcentral.
UUUCCGUAGGUGAACCUGCGGAAGGAUCAUUCAUAAUAAAGUGUUUUAUGGCGCUUUUUAAAAAAUCCAUAUCCACCUUGUGUGCAAUGUUAGAUCUCGUCAAUCUUGGCGAGAUUUUUAUACAUCAACUCAUUCUUUAACUAAUUUGUCUGAAAAAUAUUAUGAAUACUUAAUUCAAAAUACAACUUUCAACAACGGAUCUCUUGGCUCUC